UUUUUUUUUUUUUUAUAUUGAUGAUUGUAUUCUUGUUUAUUAUAUUAUAAGGGUUUUAUUCAUUUGGCUUAUUUGAUUGCCGUGUGUGUUUUAUUGUUGCAGGGAAUUCGGGAGUUAUUGUUUAUGGUUACAUUUCUCUUUUGGCGACCUGCUUAUUUCUCAGUGGUAUUUGUGUUUUGAUGGUUUGAGGCACUAUGGGUUUAUUGAGUAAGGAAUAAUUAUUUUGUUGUUGUUGAUGUGUUUGGUUUUUUUGGUAUUUUGAUGUAUUUGGUUGUUGUUUUUUAUUAGUUUUACUUUUGGGAACGUGGGUAUUUCUAUGGUGGAUCUUUUUAGGUAGUUAUUUUAUUUCGGUGGUGAAUCUUUUCUUUCUUCGUGGUUCCGAUAUUGUUACAUCGGUAAUUAUUUGGUGGGGUUUUUUAAUUCAUUUUAUAGAGUAUUGGGUUCUCUUUAUGAGUUAGUGUCGUGGUAGAGUUUUGGUUGGUUUUUUUUUUUUUUUAAGAAACGUUCGGGGUCUGUUGUGUUGUUUGGAGUAUAGUAAGUUGGCGUUUCUUUUUUUUGUUUGUUUGUUUUGUUUUAGUGGUUUUUGUCAUCUGCUCUGUGGGUUUCUAUAGGUCUUUUUUAAAAUGUUUGUUUCAUUUUUGUGAUGUGAUAAGAACUGCUAGUGAAAGGAGUGUAGUGCGGGUUUUUUUGCUGGUAGUUGGUUGGCUGGUGGAGCCUUUCUGAAUUUUUUGGACGGUAUUGUUGGGAAUUCGAUGCUGUUUGUUUUGGCAUUUUAUUAUUAGGAAUUGGAUUUUUACUGCAAAGUUUUAACUAUAGAUCUAAUGAAACAAAACAAAUGCAUAAAUAUGAAAAUGGGAACAAAAACUUAAAUUUUAAAUAUAAACAGAAAAUAUAUAAAUAAAACAUGUAACAUGAAUAAUGUUAUCUAUUACUAUUAGAUAUAAUAUUGUUUGCUAUAGAGUAUUUUAUAUCUUUAUAUAAAUACAUAUAAAUAUAGAUUAUAAAUAUAAACAAAAUAUCCAUCAAGAGAUGUAUAAUUAAUACAUGUGGGUAUAUAAAUAUAACAAAAUAAUAGGAAUCAAUAUAGUUCAUAAUGUAUAUUUUACUGUAUAUGUCUUCUUAUAGCACAUUAUAUGUCAUAAAUAUUAUGUAUCUAAAUAGAGUACAUCAAUAUAUUGUGAUAUAAUAGACAAAAACUUGUAAAAAUAAAAAA
Molecule: long non-coding RNA, 1213 nt
Filed under: Taeniopygia guttata (zebra finch)
Lineage: Eukaryota; Metazoa; Chordata; Aves; Passeriformes; Estrildidae
Description: lncRNA (ENSTGUG00000027265.1)
Source: RNAcentral